Long non-coding RNA from Macaca nemestrina (pig-tailed macaque), 3924 nucleotides. Lineage: Eukaryota; Metazoa; Chordata; Mammalia; Primates; Cercopithecidae. The record is from Ensembl.
AGAGAAUAAAGCUGGAUCUAGCCCAGUGGUGGUUGCCUAGCAACAAAGCUAUGUGUUAGGAAAAGGAUGGGAGUACUUCAGACAUUGGGUAUCACUUCAGGCAUUGCGUUUCCUUGAAAAAUGUGAAGAAACCUUUCUGCUCUUUUGAAAUUGUCUGUUUAAAGAUGCCUAUGAUCCAUACCACAUGCUAGGACACUCUUCCUCUUUUUAAGUCAGAUUCACAUUAAAAUUCAGCUCAGUUGCCACCUCUUCCAUGAAGCUUUCUCUGGCUAUCCCCAAGGACCCUCAGACUCUGUACCAUGUCUGCUUCCUCUGGGCUCCCCUCACCUUCUGCAUUUCACUACCUUUGCUCUUCUUUAAAUGUUUAGUAGAAUUCAGCAGUGAAGCCACUGGGUCCUUGGCUUUUCUUCACUGGGAGACCUUUUUAUUGUGGCUUCAAUCUCAUUACCUAUUAUUGGUCUGGUCAGGUUUUGGAUUUAUUUGUGGUUCAACCUUGGUAGGCUGUAUGUGUCUAUGAAUUUGUCCACUUCUUGUUGGCACUUAUCAUGGUGUCCAUCACUUAUCAUGAAAUCAUUAGCUUGUUCAUCUCUCUGUUAAUGUGCCCAACCAGAUUAUAGUUAGGGACUGUCCCUUGCUUUUCUUUGUAUCUCACAUGCAUAAUCUCAUGCUUUGUAAAGGCCCUAGUACAGUUUGUUGAGUGGAUGGGUGGAUGGAUGAUGAAGAAGUAAAUGAACUAAUGAAUAAAUUAGAAAAUCAGACUUCAGUAAGAAUAUGAUCUAUAAUCAUGGCUGUAUUGAGGACUCUAAUAUGUGUAAAUGUAAUGGAAUAACUCCAAUACGUACCGCUGUGAGGGAUUUUUGUGAUAAGCCUGUCUCAAGUCAUGUUCAGAAAAGUUUAUUUGAAUUAAGUCGUCUUUUCCCUAUUUUCUGUUCUCUGCCCUACAGGCUGCCUGAGCAAUUGUGGCUGAUUCGUGAAGCGAGUUCCCAUUAUCAUCCAAUUGGCCCUGAUCUCGCAUCCCAAGCCCACGGAUCAUACCACACUGUUCUUUCUGCGAAACAGUUGAGAAUUACCAGUAAUUGGGACUGUUUACAUUCAAUGCCAUCCUGACAGAAGCAGCUUUAUUAUAUUGCAGAGGGAUAAUUAAUAUAUGAUGGGGAUUAAAGAUUGCAUCACAGCAGGUAAGCCUCUUGUCUGAUAAGUCAUUUCACUGAUUACAAAGGAAUGCAAAUUAUAUAAACAGAAAUAAUGUUUUUCUCUUAUGCUAAUUUUAGCCUAGCCCACCUGUGCAUUUUCGAUUAACUGGAGAAAGGUGAAAAAUAUUAGGUUUGCUAAGGUAGAUUUCUGCCGUGUCAGCCCACCUCAUCUGAUAUUAAAUGCAGUUAUAUCUUAUUUAGACUCUGUUUUUAACCUCUUUUUAAUUCCUGAAAAGAUAAAAUUCAAGCAAAUUACUCAUAUGAGCUAUGAGAUUUAGGAGACGUGACAUGAUUUGGAUAAGGUAAAAGGCUUGUCUUUCUUGACAAAUUGUACAAAUUAGAGCAAUAUUCUUGGCUAUUUGACUAUCGUGAUAUUGUCAUGUCUUAGGCUUGUGCUUGUUUGCAAUAGAUCUUUAAUACCUAAUAUUGUUAAUUGUACAACAUAUCAAUACUCUCCUUUGCCUCUAUCACAGGCCAAGGCAAGAUGUAAUAAACAUUAAUAAUUUUAGAUUUAUAUCCACUGUAGCAAGAAUGGGAAAAAAGUGUCAUCUGAAAUGCCAUUUUCAAGCAAUUGCAGUGAUUUCCUGGAACCCUACAUAACAAGUCCAGAUUCAGUGGGAAAGACUGUGAGGAUCCAUUAGCAAUGCUUACGAUGAGCAAGUCUUGUGAUGGGGUUACCCUCCUUGCAUUAGAAUUUGCAGUCUUCUAUUAGGCCAUUAGCCUUUGAGAGCAAAAACUAUAUGUUUCUCAUUUUUGUAGCCCCAGUGCCAGGCACACAGUAGCUGCUCCAAUAGCAAAGGAGUCUGAGUCAGGCUGCUUGGGUUUAAUGGCUGUCUUUGUCGCUUACUAGCUGAGUGAACUCUUCAUGUUUAUAACUUAACUGUGGUUCAGUUUCCUUCUCUACAGAAAAGGCAUGAGUUCCUCAUUCAUAGGGUUAUAAUAAGGGUUAAAUAAAGUCAUGCGUAUCCAAAGCUUAGCAUACUGCCUGAGACAUAGUAAAUACUUGAGGAAUGCAGGUAUAAAUUAACAUAGGAAUGAAUAACUUUGCAAGGAAACAGAGAGAAGGAUCCUAAACAGUCCUGCUGGUGUAUGCAUUUAUGAUUCAAAAAUCCUCAAUUGUUAAAAUUUGGGUCAGAAACGUAUUAUUCCAGGUUGUUGGUAAAUGUGAGGGCCCUUCUGGGUUUGGAGGUAGAACAAUACACUGAGAGGCCAAAGGAGCUGCAAAUAAAAAUUGACUUCUCUGGGAAAAUGAUUUUCACAUUUAUACCUACCUGCCUUUUGUCCUCCCAUGCAUUUCUCCAGAUGUGGUACCAAUGUGAUACAACUGUUGUUUAUUCCUUCUUUGACAAUAGCAAGGUAGUAUGAACCUGCCAGUGAGGGCUUCAAAUAUAGCUCCAGAGACAUUCACCACUACUGCCUGCCUCCAUGGUUUCCCAUUCCCUUUCACAAAUAAAACAUGGCCUCAUGCUUCAUUCUGAGCUUGCAUUUUACAUACAUCAUUUGGAUCUUCUCUGCAAAACAAUGAAGUGGGCGUGGUAAUCUUCCUUUACAAAUAGAGAAACUGAGGCCUAACAUGAGGAGCAAUUUCCCCGUAAAAAUCCUUUAUUGUCAAGGUCCAAAUGGCUGAUGAUUCAUGCCAUAGACAUCCCAAACCAGCUGGUAGGCAGAGCUCUGGGCAUUCCAAAUGGAAACGUGGAACAGACACAGAUCACCUGGCCACACAGACCUCAGCUCUAAAGACAGACAACUACUUACCUGUUAAAGUUUCCUGUGCACUAAUUUUUAAAAUCUAGAGAUAGAUAUUAAGUAGGUUAAGUGACAUCUUAAAUUAGCCCAUGGACAUUUGAGAACAGAAUCAUUUUUAGAAUCUUGAUUCUGAGAUUCACUGUUGGGCUUAAGUCACUGCUUCUGUGAUGGUUGGUUUUGGGUGUGAACUUGACUGCAUUAAGGGAUACUUAUCUGGGAAAGCAUUAUUUACUCUCCAUGCUUCAGUAGAUACUGAGCCCUUCCCUCUUCUGCCGAAAGGGAAACCCAGGUGAUUUGGCGUUUGAUUAGAAACAAUUGGGCUGCCCCAGGUGUGUCGGUGAGGGUGCUUCUGAGGGAAACUGGGACUAAAUGAAGAAGAUCUGCCCUCCAUAUGAGCAGGCACGAUCCAACCAGCUGGGGGCCCCAAAUAGAACAAAAAGGCAGAUAAAGGGCAAAGUCUCCCUGGAGAAGAGCCCGGCCUGUAGACAGACAUCAGAACUCCAGGUUCUCCAGCCUUUGGGCUCCAGGACUCACACCAAGGCGCCACCGGGCUCUCUGACCUUCAGCUUUGGACUGAGAAUUACACCAUAUAAUGCCAUGGUUCUGAAGCCUUCAAACUCAGACUGAGCCGCGCUACAGGCUUUCCAGGUUGUCCAGCAUGCAGAAGGUCUGUUGUGGGACUUCUCAGCCUCCAUAAGCAAGUAAGACAAUUACCUCUAAUAAAUCCUUUUUCAUAUAUCUCUCUAUACAUCUGUAGCUUCUGUCUCUAGGGAGAACCCUAACUAAAACCCAUUCUCAAAGGUAACAUGCAUAAGAAUUGCCCAGAGCAGGGGGAUGGAGUCUUGCUAACAUGCACAUUGAUUUAGAAGAGGUAGGGCCUAGGAUUUUCUGUAGUUCUGAAACACUUCCAGGUGAUGUUGAUGCUGAUGGACAAGGAGCACACUAUCAGUUUUCAGUCAGGCUUCCACAAAGUGCUUUCUGCGGG